Long non-coding RNA from Cyanistes caeruleus (blue tit), 2557 nucleotides. RefSeq lists it as uncharacterized. The record is from RefSeq and is a predicted model, not a curated record. NCBI's taxonomy places the organism in Eukaryota, Metazoa, Chordata, Aves, Passeriformes, Paridae.
AACCCACUCAGGGAUUCUGGGAUCAAACAAAAGGAGGAACUGAUGGCACAGAAUCCCGAGAACACCUUUUCCUCCCGCUGGGGCUGGGGUGGGAGCAGCUACAACCACACCUGGGAAUAUUUUGCAAACAGAUUCAUGACAGGAAAGUGGGGGGAAAGAAAAAAAGAAAAAGCAAAAUGUCUCGGAUAAAUUCUUCUCAAUGAAUAAUUCCUCCAGCUCUGAUAGCAAUGCAUAAUUACAGCCCGUGCCGGCCUAUUAUGUAUUAGUGGGGGUACUAAUUAGUUAAUGUUUGUACAGCUCCUGGAAGAUGUAAUGUGCUCAGGCAUUAUCAUUAACUAAGCAGAGCAUUCAGGUUUAAAUUCUUUUUAGCAUAACGUGGAGCAGGAUCACCCACACCCUUUCAGAUCAGCAGAAUUGUGAUACCCACUGAUCUCGUCAGGGAGGAAAAUGCACAAAUUAGGGCCUGGGAGGAAGCACCGAGAGCUCCUCGCUGCUGGGCAGAUUAAAAGGAGAGGAUUUACUGGCAGUUUAGAAGAGCCUGCUUUGAAACCGAGGCAGGACGGACACACGCGGGUGGCAGCAGCUGAAGUUUACCAGGGUUUGAUAGAAGCACCCAGCGUGGUUUUUGGGGCUCGUGUGUUUCUGAAGCCAGAAUCAGAUUGAUGCCACGGCUGUAGUUCCUGAUGCUUUAUUUGUGUCCAUCCAUCGCUGCCAGGAUGAGCAUCCCCACAUCCAGUGCAGCGUGGAAAUGAAAAUCAAAUAUUUCACGCUGUGUUGAGUCAGUGCUGGUAAUCUCCUGUGUCUGGAGUCUUCUGGGACUCCACAAAGGUCUCCCAGGGUGGGUUUUUUCAGUGUGUGUGAGAGUGGCUGGGCUCUGUCCCACCCACCCAGAGGGAACAGCCCCAAACCCACCCAGGGUGGGCUCAGGUUGGGGUUUUGAGCCCCCUGCUCUGCUGGGAGCUGUCCCUGCCCCUGCCUGGGUUGGAGCUGGAUUGCCUCUGAAGUCCUCUGCAAUCCAUCCCAUGCAGGAAUAAAUCGAUUUAUUAAAUAAUUCAUUUAUAAAAUGAUUUCUACUCAGUUCAUUUUAAGCAGCAGGUCACAGCCACCAGGGUGAAGUUCAGAGUCAAAACUGCUCCUUUACCUUGGACAAUUGCUUUGAUCACUCAGGUCCAUUUGUGAGCAGAUCCCAGCUGUAAAAAUCAGGGAUCUGGGGAGAACGACACAGAAAUUCAUUUAUAAAUCCAUUUAUUCCUGUAACCCCUCUCGUCAUGGUGCCCCAUUUUGGGGGGGUGCAGCACACGGCCUUGCACUCCCUCUUAGCCCUCAAAAAAGCCCAGAAUCUGGAGGAAAACCAGAGCUCCCACCCCAGCUGGGAAUGGGGACACGAGGGCAGGGAUGGCACGGGGAGAGCAGAGACCUGAACCGAGCCCACCCCAAAACUCCUGAACUAUUCCACUGAAAACUUGCUUCCCCUCCUUCUCCACACACAUCCAGCAAGGCUCAGUAAUCCCUAGCAGCGACUAUAACACCAAAUUAAUUAGCUGUUUAAUUACUUAUAAUUUUAGGAGCGAAAUGACUGCAGAGUCCCGCACAACCACGCGGAUUUAUUUCACUGUACCGGAGCUGGCUCAGCCCACACCCCCGAGCCACAGCUGCUCCCAGAAUUAAACAGGACAAACCCAGAGCACCUCCAAGGAGGUUCCUCCCACUGGAACUUCACCCUGGGCACAAUUCAACCAGGAAAACAUCCCCCAGGCAGCGACAAGGAGAUUCUGGAGGAGAAAGGGAAUCAUGCAAAAUAAGCUCGUCGAUAAGGGGAAAAUAAAGAUUCUGCUCUUCCAGAAAUGCUGAUGGAAAAUGCAGGAAGACACUUGGGCAAUCCCUCCUUGCUGCAGUGAGUUCUGCGCCUCAGCCAAACAAAUUACGAUCCUGAUCCUCGUUUGGCAUUUUUUAAAUUUGCAAACUUGGUUCAAAUGUAGAAAUAUAUUGAUAUAUGAGCAAUUCCAGCAGCAGUGAUUCACAGCAUUUGAAAUCCAGGACAAAAUUCCAUUGCUGUGUGUGUGGAAGGGAGAACUCCUUCCCUGUCCCUUUCAUGACAUGGAGAGGAGAGAGUUUCUGAAAUAAAUAUUGGAGAAUGCAGCAUAAAUCUCUGUGAGAGCAGCUCAGCCAUGGCUAAAAGCAGAGCCAGCUCCACCUGCCCAGCCCAGAACAAGAUUCCCUCAGGAAUUGCAGGCAGCCAUCCACAGGUUCUCUGCUACCUGUGACUUUUACAACUCUCCACCUUUUUUAUUCUCUUUUUUCAUUCUCUUGAGAGCUUGAAAUGCUCUCCCAGCCAAUCCAUCUCCUCCAGUCUGCCCCGUGCUCCAGCUCUCCUCCCCAAAAGUCCUGGAAUUCUCCAGCUUUCAGUCCCACAGGAGCAUUUCCAGACUGAGGUGUUGGGAUCCCUGCAGGAAAACAAUUUCCAGGCUCUCCUGGACCCCGUCCCAGGAGGUUUCAGGUGUUAAAAUGAAAUGCAGGUGUGCAAAUGACUGGUUAAAUAAAUGUACAUGGGACAUCA